RNAcentral lists this small RNA (657 nucleotides) under Rattus norvegicus (Norway rat). RNAcentral's name for it is "uncharacterized LOC102555129". The record is from RNAcentral. Lineage: Eukaryota; Metazoa; Chordata; Mammalia; Rodentia; Muridae.
AGCCCACAUCCUGGCAGACCAGGGCAGCUGGUGAGGUUGACCGUCAGCCUUGUCAAAGGACCAUGUCAAGAGCACACAGUGCCAUGCUGGCCGGGGGACCUGCAUUCACCACCAAGCCCAGCUGGGAUGCAGGUUUUUAAGUGUCGCUAACCAAGGCUUCGACCAGACAUCAUGACCAGAAGCAGAUCAGGGGAGAAAUGUUUACUGGGAUUACAAUUCAGUCUGAGCAACUGAGACUGUCCCGAGGAGACCUGGGACAGGUCAGGAGAGUGUUCUGAGAACCCCUGAGAGCUGUCUUCGAAGCGGCCGAGCUGGGCAGGUGAGGCCUGCAGGCAAGAGGAAGCCGGGUAGAUUUGAGAUAAUGAAAUCUGGACUCCACUGGGAGAUCCCAGGCAGGCCCUGCCACCUGAUCCUACCACACUGCCCCUCUGUCCAAGACCCUAAAGCGAAGGGCACCAGCCAUGGACUGGAGCCUCUAUAAAUACAGGAGGGGAUUAGACAGUUUGAGUGACCACGCCAGCAAACAAUCACAGUACACCGUUCUAACGGCACAGAUAAAACAAUUCACAUCACUGAUACAGGUUCCCCUCUCUCAGGUGACUGGAGCUCGCGUUAAGUCAAUGUACAACUGGCCAACGUAGUCUGAAAUCAUUUUGA